AGAAUUGUAGCAGGUUUAGUGCUCCAUGAGAAUUGACUGACCAGCUAAGGGAGCCCUUAGACAAAGUAAAUUCUAGGGUCCAUCUCAAGACAGUGCUAACUCAUCGCUGCCCAUGCUAAAGUUGUCUUUUUGUUUUUCCUAGAAGUUUCAGGCACCUGCAAGAGAGACCUGCGUGGAAUGUCAGAAGACAGUCUAUCCAAUGGAGCGUCUCUUGGCCAACCAGCAGGUGUUUCACAUCAGCUGCUUCCGUUGCUCCUAUUGCAACAACAAACUCAGUCUAGGAACAUAUGCAUCUUUACAUGGAAGAAUCUAUUGUAAGCCUCACUUCAAUCAACUCUUUAAAUCUAAGGGCAACUAUGAUGAAGGCUUUGGGCACAGACCACACAAGGAUCUAUGGGCAAGCAAAAAUGAAAACGAAGAGAUUUUGGAGAGACCAGCCCAGCUUGCAAAUGCAAGGGAGACCCCUCACAGCCCAGGGGUAGAAGAUGCCCCUAUUGCUAAGGUGGGUGUCCUGGCUGCAAGUAUGGAAGCCAAGGCCUCCUCUCAGCAGGAGAAGGAAGACAAGCCAGCUGAAACCAAGAAGCUGAGGAUCGCCUGGCCACCCCCCACUGAACUUGGAAGUUCAGGAAGUGCCUUGGAGGAAGGGAU
RNAcentral lists this small RNA (648 nucleotides) under Pan troglodytes (chimpanzee). RNAcentral's name for it is "retained intron". Lineage: Eukaryota; Metazoa; Chordata; Mammalia; Primates; Hominidae. The record is from RNAcentral.